Long non-coding RNA from Sinocyclocheilus anshuiensis, 122 nucleotides. RefSeq lists it as uncharacterized. The transcript is spliced from 3 exons. Lineage: Eukaryota; Metazoa; Chordata; Actinopteri; Cypriniformes; Cyprinidae. The record is from RefSeq and is a predicted model, not a curated record.
GCUGUUGAAAGGAAAAAUGUCCUCACUGCGUGCAAGUGCCGGAAGAGCAGGAGAUUGAAAUCUGCAGCAGGGAGCCAAGGAUAACAAAAGACUUCCACACUGCAGUUGGAUGGCUGCAGAGA